UCUGUCCGUCGACGGAGCUCCAAGCACCACCGUAAAGGCGGAAAGAAACACCAAGAUAAAGCGCAGACAUCGGACAUUGACCAGUCACAGCCACGGCAGCCACAGGAGCAGCUUAGUGGCGUGGAUGGAGUGACGCAAGCAGCUUCGGGCACGACGCUUGCGACGUCACCGUCCCAGUCAUCGGACAAGGCGUUGUCGCCUCAGCCACCGGAGCCGCAAGCGGCGGUCGAGGUGAAGAAAGCGGCCGGGCGCGCAGGCGACGAGGAAAGGUUGGUUGUCUCGGAGCGCCGCGACAGUCCGCAGCCGACCGCCACCACAACCUCCGGACUGCUGGAGUACUGGCCCCUGGCCGCCACCAUCGUGGUGCUCGUGGUGGUCAUCCUGGUGCAGUUGCUGAUUGCCGCACCUAUCCGGCUGCAGAGGGC
Molecule: long non-coding RNA, 425 nt
Organism: Dermacentor silvarum
Lineage: Eukaryota; Metazoa; Arthropoda; Arachnida; Ixodida; Ixodidae
Exons: 3
Source: RefSeq, a predicted model, not a curated record